UACGAAGGGGGCUAGCGUUGCUCGGAAUCACUGGGCGUAAAGCGCACGUAGGCGGCCAACUAAGUCAGACGUGAAAUCCCUCGGCUUAACCGGGGAACUGCGUCUGAUACUGGAUGGCUUGAGUUCGGGAGAGGGAUGCGGAAUUCCCAGUGUAGAGGUGAAAUUCGUAGAUAUUGGGAAGAACACCGGUGGCGAAGGCGGCGACCUGGUCCGAUACUGACGCUGAGGCGCGAAAGCGUGGGGAGGCAAACAGG
Molecule: ribosomal RNA, 254 nt
Filed under: uncultured bacterium
Lineage: Bacteria
Description: partial 16S ribosomal RNA
Rfam family: Bacterial small subunit ribosomal RNA
Source: RNAcentral